AGUGAACGCUGGCGGUAGGCCUAACACAUGCAAGUCGAACGGCAGCACAGUAAGAGCUUGCUCUUACGGGUGGCGAGUGGCGGACGGGUGAGGAAUACAUCGGAAUCUACUUUUUCGUGGGGGAUAACGUAGGGAAACUUACGCUAAUACCGCAUACGACCUACGGGUGAAAGCAGGGGAUCUUCGGACCUUGCGCGAUUGAAUGAGUCGAUGUCGGAUUAGCUAGUUGGCGGGGUAAAGGCCCACCAAGGCGACGAUCCGUAGCUGGUCUGAGAGGAUGAUCAGCCACACUGGAACUGAGACACGGUCCAGACUCCUACGGGAGGCAGCAGUGGGGAAUAUUGGACAAUGGGCGCAAGCCUGAUCCAGCCAUACCGCGUGGGUGAAGAAGGCCUUCGGGUUGUAAAGCCCUUUUGUUGGGAAAGAAAAGCAGUAGGUUAAUACCCCGCUGUUCUGACGGUACCCAAAGAAUAAGCACCGGCUAACUUCGUG
RNAcentral lists this ribosomal RNA (492 nucleotides) under uncultured bacterium. RNAcentral describes it as "partial 16S ribosomal RNA". It matches the Rfam family "Bacterial small subunit ribosomal RNA", at positions 29 to 507 of the family's 1533-position model. The record is from RNAcentral.